Molecule: ribosomal RNA, 328 nt
Filed under: uncultured eukaryote
Lineage: Eukaryota
Description: partial 18S ribosomal RNA
Rfam family: Eukaryotic small subunit ribosomal RNA
Source: RNAcentral
CCCUUAGACGUUCUGGGCCGCACGCGCGCUACACUGACCAGUGCAACAAGCAUCCGUCCUUGGCCGACAGGCCCGGGCAAUCUUUGAACGCUGGUCGUGAUGGGGAUAGACUUUUGCAAUUUUUGGUCUUCAACGAGGAAUUCCUAGUAAACGCAAGUCAUCAACUUGCAUUGAUUACGUCCCUGCCCUUUGUACACACCGCCCGUCGCUCCUACCGAUUGAAUGUGUUGGUGAGGAGCUCGGAUUGGCAGCAGUUGGUGGUUCGCCACCGGCUAUUGCUGAGAAGUCCUCCAAACCGCCCCAUUUAGAGGAAGGAGAAGUCGUAACA